RNAcentral lists this ribosomal RNA (500 nucleotides) under uncultured Sphingobacteriales bacterium. RNAcentral's name for it is "bacterial SSU rRNA". It matches the Rfam family "Bacterial small subunit ribosomal RNA", at positions 903 to 1382 of the family's 1533-position model. The record is from RNAcentral. Lineage: Bacteria; Pseudomonadati; Bacteroidota; Sphingobacteriia; Sphingobacteriales.
CGCCUUGCCAGCCCGCUCAGAACUUAAAGGAAUUGACGGGGCCCGCACAAGCGGUGGAGCAUGUGGUUAAUUCGAUGAUACGCGAGGAACCUUACCUGGGCUCAAAUGUAUGUUGACGUAUUCUGAAAGGGAUACUUCUUCGGACAAUAUACAAGGUGCUGCAUGGUUGUCGUCAGCUCGUGCCGUGAGGUGUCGGGUUAAGUCCCAUAACGAGCGCAACCCCUAUCAUUAGUUGCCAUCAGGUCAAGCUGGGGACUCUAAUGAAACUGCCUACGCAAGUAGUGAGGAAGGUGGGGAUGACGUCAAAUCAGCACGGCCCUUACGUCCAGGGCUACACACGUGCUACAAUGGCCGGUACAAAGGGCAGCUACCUGGUGACAGGAUGCUAAUCUCAAAAGCCGGUCUCAGUUCGGAUCGGAGUCUGCAACCCGACUCCGUGAAGCUGGAAUCGCUAGUAAUCGUGGAUCAGCCAAGCCGCGGUGAAUACGUUCCCGGGCCUU